This 489-nucleotide ribosomal RNA is filed under the name uncultured bacterium. RNAcentral's name for it is "bacterial SSU rRNA". It matches the Rfam family "Bacterial small subunit ribosomal RNA", at positions 13 to 518 of the family's 1533-position model. The record is from RNAcentral.
UUGAUCUGGUUCAGGACGAACGCUGGCGGCACGCUUAACACAUGCAAGUCGAACGGAGUUUAGAGAGCUUGCUUCUAAACUUAGUGGCGGACGGGUGAGUAACACGUGAGCAACCUGCCUCAAGCGAGGAAUAAUGAGUGGAAACGCUCUGUAAUACCUCAUAACGUAUUUUUUACCGCAUGAUAGGAAUACCAAAGAUUUAUCACUUGAAGAUGGACUCGCGUCCGAUUAGCUAGUUGGUGAGGUAACGGCUCACCAAGGCGACGAUCGGUAGCCGUACUGAGAGGUAGAUCGGCCACAUUGGGACUGAGACACGGCCCAGACUCCUACGGGAGGCAGCAGUGGGGAAUAUUGCACAAUGGAGGAAACUCUGAUGCAAGCGAUGCCGCGUGAGCGAAGAAGGCCUUUUGGUUGUAAAGCUCUGUUAUCAGGGACGAAAAUGACGGUACCUGAGGAGGAAGCUCCGGCUAACUACGUGCCAGCCGCUGC